RNAcentral lists this ribosomal RNA (555 nucleotides) under uncultured bacterium. Its description in RNAcentral is "partial 16S ribosomal RNA". It matches the Rfam family "Bacterial small subunit ribosomal RNA", at positions 355 to 900 of the family's 1533-position model. The record is from RNAcentral.
UAGGGAAUCUUCCACAAUGGACGAAAGUCUGAUGGAGCAACGCCGCGUGAGUGAUGAAGGGUUUCGGCUCGUAAAACUCUGUUGUUGGAGAAGAACGGGUGUCAGAGUAACUGUUGACAUCGUGACGGCAUCCAACCAGAAAGCCACGGCUAACUACGUGCCAGCAGCCGCGGUAAUACGUAGGUGGCAAGCGUUGUCCGGAUUUAUUGGGCGUAAAGCGAGCGCAGGCGGUUUUUUAGGUCUGAUGUGAAAGCCUUCGGCUUAACCGGAGAAGUGCAUCGGAAACCGGGAGACUUGAGUGCAGAAGAGGACAGUGGAACUCCAUGUGUAGCGGUGAAAUGCGUAGAUAUAUGGAAGAACACCAGUGGCGAAGGCGGCUGUCUGGUCUGCAACUGACGCUGAGGCUCGAAAGCAUGGGUAGCGAACAGGAUUAGAUACCCUGGUAGUCCAUGCCGUAAACGAUGAGUGCUAAGUGUUGGAGGGUUUUCCGCCCUUCAGUGCUGCAGCUAACGCAUUAAGCACUCCGCCUGGGGAGUACGACCGCAAGGUUGAAAC